GCUGUUCUGUGAUGAGGCCUGGAAUGUGCGCUGGACGCAGCGCCGAGUCAGACUGCGGAACCAUUCCCUGUUGCCUGCCUUCUGAGAACAGC
Molecule: small nucleolar RNA, 92 nt
Filed under: Sciurus vulgaris (Eurasian red squirrel)
Lineage: Eukaryota; Metazoa; Chordata; Mammalia; Rodentia; Sciuridae
Description: Small nucleolar RNA U83B (ENSSVLG00005015992.1)
Rfam family: Small nucleolar RNA U83B
About the family: U83B belongs to the C/D family of snoRNAs. U83B like U83A has no documented RNA target and they share the same host gene with the C/D box snoRNA U43 (RPL3).
Source: Rfam by way of RNAcentral